This 419-nucleotide long non-coding RNA is filed under the name Lathyrus oleraceus (garden pea). Its description in RNAcentral is "Pisum sativum (pea) long non-coding RNA (PSAT_LNC028458)". The record is from RNAcentral. Lineage: Eukaryota; Viridiplantae; Streptophyta; Magnoliopsida; Fabales; Fabaceae.
AAAGGCAUUGUGAGAGAGUGAAACGCAGGUGAGUGAGGUUAGCGAGAGAGAGUGAGUUUGAACGGUGGAGUGAGAAGGAGUGAUACCGAGAGGGAGAGGUACGUUGAGCUUCUGUUACGUUUUUAUUUUUUUCUUUUAAUUUAUUUCAAAUAGGAUAAAUAAUAAAUAAUGAAGAACAUUCAUUUUUCCUAGGAUAGUAUUUAAUAGUGUUAUUUUAUAUUUCCAAUUUCUCUUUGAAAACCCAACAGCCAUGCGGCUGGGUUUAAUUACCAGUAGACCGAUAGUUUUCUUUCAUUUUAGUUUUUAUUUUAAUCCUUUUUCUUAAUUUAUUUUAGUUUAUAUAUUUAGGUUAGUCUUAAAAUAACAGUUAGUUGUUAAAUAGCCUAAUGGAGAGAGGGUAGUGCUGUAAUCUCAAGAGG